Molecule: transfer RNA, 73 nt
Filed under: Porolithon onkodes
Lineage: Eukaryota; Rhodophyta; Florideophyceae; Corallinales; Porolithaceae
Description: tRNA-Arg
Rfam family: tRNA
About the family: Transfer RNA (tRNA) molecules are approximately 80 nucleotides in length. Their secondary structure includes four short double-helical elements and three loops (D, anti-codon, and T loops).
Source: RNAcentral
AAGCAAGUAACUUAGUGGAUAGAGUGUCAGAUUCCGAUUCUGAAAGUCGCUGGUUCGAAUCCAGUCUUGCUUG